AGCUCAGAGCCCUCUGUCCCCGCACGGGGCAGGAGAGGGGAGCUCCCAGCACCUCCCCGCAGCACCGAGGCUCAGCUCCAAGCUCAGGGAUUUCUUUCCUUUUUUCUCUGCCUUUGAAAGCUGCCGGCGGAGAUGUGAAGCCUACACAUACCCAGGGCCCCCCCCAGGCCCUUUCCAGCUGGAAAGAGGUGAGCAAUGCCAGCACAGCCCGCUCGGCUCUCAUACAAUCCCCAGCACUCGCUCCAGGUCUCUGCCGUCAGGAGGUGAGACCCCAUGGCCGGGGAGCCCCGCAUCCCCCCCAGCCUGCAGCGCUGGGGGCUGAAGGCCGAGGAGAAGACCCUGGACUUCGAGUUCGAGGUGCUGGGGGCUCAAUUCAACCGGCGGGGCCGCUACACCCUGCGGCUCAGCGUGGAGAACCCGCUGCUGCACGGCCCCACAGCCGGCGUCCUGCUGCGCAUCGGCAGAGGCACCGCCGUCCCCGCCAGCACCGGCACCACCGACACGGUGGAGCAGAGCCACCUGGAUGAGGUGUGCUCCUUCCAGCGGAGGAAAUUCACCUUCACACUGCCCAGAGGUUUCUGCAAGAACGACAGGAACCACGACGUGCGGCUGCGCAUCGAAGCCCUGCACUCGCCCAGGAGCCCAGCGAGGAAGAGGAAGGUGGGCGAAGCCUUCUUCGCCAUCUACCCCCGGCCCCCCCAGCCUCGCACGAAGCCCCCAGCGGGGCGGGAUGAGGACUGGUACCUGCUGCAGCACAGUGGCGGCUCUGCUGCGGGUGGGCAGCGAGCAGCCGGCCAUGCACUGCGGCCGCCUGGCCUUUGUGGCUGCCCUGCACGAGCACCGGCCACCCGCCACGAGGUCCCCACCGCUGUCACCCCAAGGCCAGGAGAGGGGGCAGCAAGAGGGGGACGCAGCCCCAGCACCCACGUCCCCAGCCGUGCCGUCCCCUGAAGUCCCCCUCCGCACACCCGAGUCCGCUUACCACUCGCUGCCCACAGAGAUGCCGCAGGCUGACCCUGCGCUCAGCUCCUCCCCGGAGCUCCCGGGUGACUCAGCAGGCGAGCAUCCCUCCUCCUCCUCCUCUUCCUCCUCCUCUUCCUCGGUGCCACCGCUCAGCUGCAGCAGUUUCCGCCUCUCCUCGCCAGGAUCCAGCCCGGAUCUGACCCCGUGGGCAGCGCAGCCCCACCGGGACGCCGUGGCCCUGCCACCAGCUGACACCGUGAGCAGCAUCCUGCCCGGGAUGCCACAGAGGUCCCGGGCCAUCCCCAGGGAGCUCCAGCAGCGGGAGGCGAGCAGGUACCGCCUGGCGCUGAAGAGGAUGGCAGGAGACCUCCUGUCCCUGCGCCGGCACGUCACCAGCCUGGAGGUGGAGAACGGGCACCUGACGGCACCGGCUGGCCGGGCACGAGGAGCCGGGCGGCGCGCUGCUCGCCGACCUGGACGUGGACGUGAUGACCAGGGAGGAGGUCCUGGACCGCCUGGCCACCCUGAAGGGCGAGCUGGUGGCGGGCACGAUGGAGAUGCGGCGGCUGAAGGACCGCGUGCAGCAGCUGCAGAAUGA
This 1561-nucleotide long non-coding RNA is filed under the name Anas platyrhynchos (mallard). Its description in RNAcentral is "lncRNA (ENSAPLG00020016188.1)". The record is from RNAcentral. Lineage: Eukaryota; Metazoa; Chordata; Aves; Anseriformes; Anatidae.